RNAcentral lists this long non-coding RNA (389 nucleotides) under Actinidia chinensis (golden kiwifruit). Its description in RNAcentral is "long non-coding RNA (ACHI_LNC001655)". Lineage: Eukaryota; Viridiplantae; Streptophyta; Magnoliopsida; Ericales; Actinidiaceae. The record is from RNAcentral.
CUUGGGAUGAAACUGUCGGUGGACCCAAUUGAAGAUCUGGAGAAAAAGUAAAGAGAAAGAGUUACAAGAAGGAUCAUAAUUGGGUACAGUAAGUGCGAGGGAUGGAAGUGAGAUUGUAGUGAUGAGCGAGUACCUUCAUGCUUGGAGCAAGGCCUGGAAGUCUGCCAAGAGAUGCAAAUGUGCACGUGAGAGAGAACAGAGAGAGAGAGAGAGAGAGAGAGAGAGAGAGAAUGAGUGGGAAGAGUGAGGGAGAGGAACUAAAAACGAUGGAGGGCCAAGUGGGUGGAAGACGUAGAGGGAGACACGUGUAAGGCGUGGGGGGGCUACAGUGAAGGACAUGUUUCAGGGCUGCAUGGCAUGUUUGAAUUAGCUAAUGAACCAUUCCGUUG